UACGUAGGUGGCAAGCGUUGUCCGGAAUUACUGGGUGUAAAGGGCGUGUAGGCGGGGAUGCAAGUCAGAUGUGAAAUUCCGAGGCUUAACCUCGGGGCUGCAUCUGAAACUGUGUCUCUUGAGUGCUGGAGAGGGAAGCGGAAUUCCUAGUGUAGCGGUGAAAUGCGUAGAUAUUAGGAGGGACACCAGUGGCGAAGGCGGCUUUCUGGACAGUAACUGACGCUGAGUCACGAAGGCGUGGGUAGCAAAC
RNAcentral lists this ribosomal RNA (250 nucleotides) under uncultured bacterium. RNAcentral's name for it is "partial 16S ribosomal RNA". It matches the Rfam family "Bacterial small subunit ribosomal RNA", at positions 524 to 773 of the family's 1533-position model. The record is from RNAcentral.